UCCUUUUAGAUAUGUACGUUCAUACCAAUUACAAAAUGUCUAUUAAUGACGCUCUAAUUAAUUAUUAAAUACUCAAGCUUUCAUUAAAUGUACACAUUCGUUAUAUAAGUUCAGUAGUACGUAAAUGGUUCAUCAACUGAUGAAUAGGUACUCAAAAUUAUUAAUUAGUCAUGAAAUGUAAUGCUUUUGGAUGAUUCAUACAUAUACUCAUUACGAUAAUGUGGACAGCUUAAUAAUGUACACUAAAUUGUAUAAAACACCACCAUUCCGUUUUUGACCCACCAGUGCUAUUUGUGCGCCAGAAGAGAUAAUUAAGUUAAACAUACAAACUCAAAUACGAAACAAAUAUGUACCGGCUAAUCCUUCUCACAGUCACUAUAACAAGCGUAGUUUUCCAGUGCUACGCUGCGUCUACUUCAAAACCGGGCCCGGUCACCUCGGUUGUCAGUAGAUUCCUGAGGAUUCAGGACUCUGAUGACUAUAAAGACACCAUCGGCGAGGCGGCAGAGGACCUCCAUACAAAAGAUUUAGAGCAACUGGGAUCACUUGCUUACGCUUUUAGAUAUCAGUUAAGAGAGGCGAUAGAAGAACUCGCGCUGCAAGGAUUAACGUAUUUAAAAUCGAUUUUUAAUGAUCUUAAAGUAAAACUGUUAAAAAGUCUUGGCAAGUAUACUCUCUCCGAUUUGUUCCACGCUACGUUUGAUGGGGUAACAGAUUUUGUAAAAAAUUCCUCUGUAGACAUGCCAGUGGAUGUCGAGGAGGAUCAUGCCAGACCCACCUAUGAUUAUGGGCAUUAUCCAUACUUUCAUAAUCCGUACGUUAUGCGAUCAGGUUCAGGUUA
Cydia pomonella (codling moth) is the source of this 841-nucleotide long non-coding RNA. RefSeq lists it as uncharacterized. The transcript is spliced from 2 exons. Lineage: Eukaryota; Metazoa; Arthropoda; Insecta; Lepidoptera; Tortricidae. The record is from RefSeq and is a predicted model, not a curated record.